This is an RNA transcript of Camarhynchus parvulus, 9133 nucleotides long. It is a transcript of the gene named ankyrin repeat domain 10, with no coding region annotated. The record is from RefSeq and is a predicted model, not a curated record. The transcript is spliced from 5 exons. Lineage: Eukaryota; Metazoa; Chordata; Aves; Passeriformes; Thraupidae.
UCGCUGACUGAUGCUGUACUCCAAACAGACAUAGUCACUGGCUAAUGCUUGUGUGAGGACAAGUGUUCCAUGGACACUGGAUACAAAACACAUGCUGAGAAAGAUCUGGGAAUGCUUGAUAUUUAAACUAGUAAACUUUUCCUUCCAAACUGACUUCUGGUCAUUGGCUACAGACUAACCCUUCACUUCUGGAAAAAGAAAAGGAUAGCUUCUGAAAAGGAAUCCACUCGAGUCUCUCAGUUUUACCGUAAACCUCCGGUACUCAGUAGAGUUUGCAUGCAUGCUUUCAUAUCUGCCCUGAGGUAUUGUAUUGUAGCUCAUGCUGCCUGCCCUGAAGUUUAGGAAAACUUGAACAUGUUUUAUCUUGUUGCUGGUGAGAGUUGCCCAGGACACUUCUCAGGCAGCAGCAAUGAAGGACAAAUGCUGAAAACUGCUUGUCCCAGCUUCACUUUGUUCCCCAAAUAAAUUAUGUGAGUAUAUCCUGUGAUGCCCAGCCCUCUUAUGUAACUGUAUGUGCUGGCUAGAAUCACAUGUCUCUCAUCAGUGGGCAGCUCCUUACCCCCAGGAUCACCAUAUAAAAAUACACAAGAGGAAAGCUGAAGUGCCAAGCAAUGGUCUGUUUCUACCCAUCAGUGUAUUCAAGACAAUGUCCUACUGUUUCUGAUUUUUCUUUUUCUUUCCCCUCAAUGGGCUGUGCCUGCUAAUAGUUGUUAGUAGUGUGACUCAGGACCUGCGUUUGGCUGCCUGCCUGCUCUAGUUCACUGUAACAGUGCAAAGCAAUUAUCCUGCUAGUUUUCCUGAGGAUUUUUUUCUGAUUUAUCCUUGUCACAACACAGAUUGGUUCUGUGCUGUUGUAUAUGUUAGAUACAUCAGAUAAUAAGUACUUCUGAUUUAAAAAACCAUUAACUUCAUUUAAAUAUAUUUUCCCUCUAGCCUCAGCCUAUUAAACAUUUCUUUUGUAUGUUGCCUUUUGUUGAUUGGCCAAAAAAAGUGUUGUGUGGCCUGUCAUAAAGGGAAUGGAAAAGAAAUACUGCACCCUUACAGGGGGUGCAACUUACUAUUCAUGCAGUCAGUUAACAUCGCAUGGCAGUGGCGGCAGAUAGUUUUAGGAGGGUUAGACUACCCAUAGGAGCAAGAACUGUACAUAGGCUGAUAUCCUUGGUGGGGAGGAAGAAAACCUUCUUUGGGUAUAUUACAGUUUUUAUUUUAAACAACAAUUAGGUCUGAAUCCAGAUAAAAAGAUUCCAUAAGUUCUCACUUGCACACAAAAGCCUUUUUAGCAAAGCAGGAAAGGUACUCGGUGUUCUCUAGUUUCUGCUUCCUAGCUUCAGAAAGGAUAGGAUACGGGUUCUAAGAAAUGAGUAGUGUUUGGAAAUGUGGUCAUCUGAUAAAUGAUUGAAAUUCAGUCAGUUCAGUUAAGGAAUGGAGUUAGUUUGUAUUUCUUUUCAGGUAAGGGCGUCUGUGUCUUAGUCAGGUAUCACUACUAGAAGUAUUUUAGAAGUGCUUGCAGUGCUGAGGUUUAACCCCAGUAGAUACUUAAGCACCACACAGCUGCUUCCUUGUUCCCCCAGCCAGUGAGGUGAGGGGGAGGAUGAGCAGGGAGGUGUGAGAACUCAUGGGUUGAAAUAAAGACAGGUUAACAGGUAAAAAAAGGAAACAAAGAAAAAGAAAUCCAAGAAAAUCAAGUGAUAAAACAUUUUUAAAAACCUCACAGUGCAGCAACAAAAAGCUUUGUUGCUCACUACUACCUCAGUGAUGCCAGCCAGUGCUGGAGCAAUGACAGCCCCAGUUCUACUUGCUGAGCAUGGUGUCACAUGAUGUGGGAUAAUCCUCUGGUCCUUUGAGUCAGUGGUCCCAGCUGGGGCACAUCCCAGCGUACUCCCAGCUAGAACAUUGGUGUACUAAAAACACUUAGCUGAUCACAAACCCAAAACAUCUUACUAAGUAGUAUGAAGAAAUUUAACUCUGUCCCAUCCAAAACAGUAUUCAUAGUUGGAAGUUUUCAGUGUAAAUGUGUGUGGGAGCUUUUUACUUUAAAAAUAAAUUCCUGCAAGUAAGUUGCUUUUCAAAAUGACUUCAGACUGAAUUGAAAAAAAUACCCAUACAUGAAAGAGGCCUGGGAAGAGAGUUUGAGAAAAGUAUUUAAUCAGUAGAGGAAGUGUCUUUUGAGGUUAAGAGCACAGUGAGGAACUGGAAACUGAUUAGUCAAGCUGAGAUGGAUUUACUGAUUAAAGCCAAAAAAAGCAAAAGACUCUUCAGCCACAUAAAUAAAAAGAUAAUAAGGAAGGAAGCUAGAUGUUUAUUCAGUAAAAUGAAAUAGAAGUCAAAGGUAAUGUAGUCAUGACCCCAAGCUAGAGAAAACUGCCCUUGUCUGUGUGAGAGGGUAGCCAUUCUUUCCAAGGGAGAGGAGGAAGGCAUUCAGCAAUGGGUUGCAAAAACUAAAUGUGUCUGUGAUGGUUCAUGAAUUCUUUUUGUCAUUUCUCCAAGAGCACUGUGCCCAAAAUAUUUACUAACCACAGAACCAAUCAAAUGUAUUAUCUUGAAUGCUAAAUUAAUGAAACUUAGUUUGAGUUUCUACUAAUUUAUUUGGAAUGCAUCCUCUAGAUUGUGAGACAAGUUUGGGCUGUUUGUGCAGUGUUGCAACAGAGGGACGAGUUCUGCUCUAGUUGUGAAAGGCCAGUACAAGUCAUUGAUGCUUCUCUUCCUGGAAUAUUAUUACAAAAGGGAUUGUUUCAGACUCAAGCACAGAUGGGGAAUGUGACCAGUUUAAAGGAUUAUGAGGUGUUAUCAGGGGUAAUGAGGAAUUAAUAGAGCUUCUCAAAAUGAAAGAACUUCUUUUGCGAGAUAAAAGAGAUAGGGAAGAAGUAUUUUACACAUGGGACUGUGCUGACAGGCUAUACCCUGAACUGCUCUCAGAAACUUCUUGGAAAAAAAAUGUUACUUUGUUUUCCUGUUAGGUCACAUCCAUUCCAGUUGUUGAAUCAAAACAAUUGUUCUGAGACUCAUACAGAGUACUUUUGUUUUCUUCUCUAUGCAUUGAAAGAUAUAAAAGCCAUCUUUCAGUGGGAUGUAGAUAUUUUCCCAUGUGUAUUUCUUUUCCAUUUAGUCAAACUUGAAAUCUAGAGAUAAUUUCUGAGGAGAGCUAGGAAAGUGUUUCAGUGCAAAUAUAUUUGGCCCCUUAUGAGAAUUUCAAAGCAACAUAAUAGUAAUGACAACUGAAAUUUGGGUGCUGUAAUUAAAAGGAAUGCUAUAAAAACCUAAGUCUGUGUAUUCUGUUGUUUUUUAAGUAUUAUUUGAAUUCCUUAGCUUUAGACACAUGGUUUUCUGGGCCGGUGAUUAAAAGCAGCCCUUCUCAAGACAUAUAUUCCCUUCUGAAAUACUAAUCUUUUCUGUUUGGUGAUGGAAGUGGUAGCUGCUAUAAGCUUAGCUCAUUCUUCUAAUGCAAUGCUGGGGAGUCCUUUUGCAAAGGUCUUCUCUCAUCCUUCUUGUGUGUCCCCACAGCAAUGAUGGAAUUCAGUUCUCUAGAUCUUACUGUGGGCAGUGUGCUAGGUUUUUAGGGCUAGGGGAGAUUUUGUUAUCUCUGCCAUAUGCAUGGCAAACUAACCCUAACCUGAACUUCAUAUUGAGUGAAUCUCUUGUAACUUAGGCUUGGGCUUGCAGAUACUAAUGCUGACCAAAAGAAGCAAAUCACUUACUUUCUAUACUUUGGCCACUUUAACAAAAGGGAGGAGGGGAGGACACAGUAAGAGAAUGAUGAAUUGAAGACAGCUUUUAUGACUGGAAAAUUUAUUACCCAAAGAAAUUUUUUCUGGAUAAAUUAGCCUCGAAUAAAUUUCAGUGUAUGAUAGUUUAAAACUUGUGUCCUCUCUUAAAUUUCUUUCUCUUCGUGUUACUUCAGGGGAUGUUACAAAUAGGAAAAAUUUGCAUAAACUUCAUUGGAAAGCAGUCUUCUAUCCAUCAGCUGCAGACAUCCACUUUGGAAGAAGGGCUUUAUAGCCUUUUUCUAAUCUCUAAGACAUUGCUGCUUUUUCCUAUGUCCAAACUUUGUCAGCCUCAGCAGUCUUCCUUAUUUUAUAAGAAAGCAAACUUUGGUGGCAUUGUUGUUCCCUGCUGGGUGUGCUAAGUAGUUCACUGUUUGGCUGAAUAUAUGUCUUAAGCACUGGUAAGCUAGCUUACCCUCCAUAAAUUUGUAACUUGUUAUAAAGAUAUUUCACCAUGAAAUAAAAUUGUCAAGUAGAAAAUUGAAAAUACAUACCUUAUAAUCCAAAAUUCAUUUUCAAGUUAUACUUACGUGGCCCAAAAGACAGGAUUAAAUUUCUCAAAAGCUUGGCAGACAAUUUUAGACACUUAGUAGCUUCUAGGUAGUACAAUCAUAUUUUGCAUAUAUUCACAUUUCAAGUAGAGCUAAAGUCUAGCCAGUACUGUGGAGUUAGGCAUCAACGCUGUUGUGUGUAAACACUGGUGAAUCAGUAAAGGUGCUGUGUUAAUUCAAUAGCUAAUGUUGAUAUUUUAAUAAAAGGAACAGGGAAGCUAAACCGAGGCACAUACAGUUAGAACAUGUUUAAUAUCUGGAACAGACUAGUGAAGUCUGUCAAAAGUUUGGAGACAAAGAGAAAGGGGAAGAAAACAAAGCAAAAAAAAAAAGCAACCAAAAAACCCUUGCUACACUGUGGAAGUGUUGAGGAUGAAUCACAUUAACAGACCAGUAAAAACAUUUACUUGCUAUUCCAAGGCAAUGUUUCAUUACAGAUUCUUUGCUGUGGUUCUUAAUACUGAUGGUUAAUUGCAAGUACUGAAUUUCCUCUGCAGCCUGUAGAUCAUGAUGCAUUAAUUUACUUGCUGCUUGCUUGGAUUUGUAAAAUUGUUGUAGAUCCUCCCUGUUACCUGUAAGACAGUUGAGGGGGGAGUUGCCUGAAAAGCAAUACUCUACCCCCAGUAUGUCUGCACAUUAUGCAAAAGAAUUAAAUUAUUGGAUGUGCUGGUUAAUACUAAUGGAAUAUGAAUUGACAGAAAAUCAGAGAAGGCAAAUAUAUAGAAUGUGAAUUAAUGCGUUUGUGCUGGGAGAGAUCUGGCCUGUCCUGUGAACACUGGGCAUACCUCUGUUGCAGUAAACUCUGUGUAUGGGCUCCUCUCCUGCCGAGUACUGAUGGUGCAAGCCUCAAGGACUGAGUCAGUGUGCCAGCAAGAUCUGAAAGCAGCACAGUCCCACAGACUCAGCCUUGCUGCUCCCGAGCUCAAGAGGGCUUGUGCAGCCCAGUGUAUUGGGAAAGGAGUGCCAGGAAAUGAAGGUGUUAGAAUAACGUGUUGCGGUGGUGGAUGUUGGGAGGGUUGACCAGUUUUCUGAAUCUGAGUCUGCUGAUUGUUGAGCUAUUGGAUAAGGCUUAUCUUGUGAGUUAAAUGCCUUUAAUGUUACUUCUUGCUAAAAGUCUAAUGUACUUGACAGCCAACUGCAGACUUCAAAGUAAUGAUGAAGUACCUGAUGUAUUUGCUAGCUAAUAAUAAAUGCUGCUUUUAUAUAUCUGCUAUCUUGAUUAAAGUAAUGUAAUAAUAGUAUUUUAAUUUUUAGAAAGAUUAUGCUUGACAAAAUGUAGUUUGUCUUUACAGGAUUAUGUUGGUGAAACUCCUAUUCAUAAAGCAGCACGGUCUGGUAGUAUGGAUUCCAUAAGUGCCCUUGUGGCUCAUGGUGCACAAAUAGAGUAAGUGAGGUAUUUUUUCUUGUUGUUGAUUGUUGUGUGUGUAGCUGACUAACUUAGAUUGGUAAACAUAGAUACUAAUUUCAGAAAGAAAAGUCAAAAUAGCAGACACAUGAUCCAAAUAAUCAUGACAGCUAGACAUGUCCAACUGUAAUGAAGCCUAAGAUAUUUUGCAUGUCUAGUAAUAAAGUUAAUUUUAAUUAAAUGAUACCAUUGUGCUACAUUAGUGUUGCACAUACAUCUGAUAUAGUAAAAUAUUUAUUGUGCUUCUGUCAGAUGACCCCAAACUGUACACUUUAUUCAGCAUGUAGUUACUUUUUAUGAGAAAUCUACACCUUGCACUGGUGAAUAAAUAUAGAAAACAAUGCAAAAGCAGCAUUAUGUGCAAAACAGCAAUUCACACACUUCACCAUUAGUUUAUUACUGUUUGUUAGUGUAUUGUGUAUUUGCCCUGUUAACUUUUUUCUUUAAAGGUUUAUGUACUGCAAAAACAUUCAGAAAAGCUCACAAACUUUUGCAACUUACAGCAUGGACAAAAUGGAUGCAGUUUUCACCUAGAAAUGUUGAGUAUAAGCUCUAUGGCUUAUAAAUAAUAUCAGUACUUUAGCAAUAUGUUUUAAUUAGAACUAGCUUUAUUAUCUUAAAUGGUAACUAGUUACUGUAUUUUAACCUGCACUACGAAACUUUGAAGUUGUAAGUGAAAUAAGAAUCAUGUAGUUAAUUUCUUGUUUUACCCUUUGGUUUCCAUCUUACUGUUUUUGUAAUGCUGCCUUGAUAAAUCUACCAUAAAAUUUAACUCUUUUAGCUGUGUCAUAGAGUGUUCAGGGAAUAUAUUACCUUUAAGUUAAUAGUAGUGAACUAAUUGCUUUGUAUGAAGAGAUUUCUUUGUAGAAAAACGAAAUAAGCUGUCUCAGUUAUUGACAAGCACAUUAAAUCAGUCUUGAAUGUAUAAUUUCCCAUUUUUCACUCACUUUUGGAUAUUUUUAAGAUAAACUUGGAAUUAAAUUUACUGUGGAAUUGAGCAAACCUUAAUUAUCAUCAUCAAUUAGUAUGUAAUCUUGUGGUUUUAACAAAGUAGCCAACCAAAAGAAAAGUUGUGGAACUACAUAAACAAUGUGAAGUGGGUGAUACCUGUCUUUGACCAAAGCUAUUUGCAGCAGAAGCAGUGUAGGUUUAUAGCAAUUUUAAUGAACAGGAAAUAACAUGAAUUCUCAGUUUCCUAACUUUGAAUUCCAUCUAUGUUUCAGAUAGGUAAUUAAACAUCAGGUCCUGUCAUGGUAGUGGUAAAAUCAGGGAUGCAAUACAAAAGGCUUGUGGAGCAACCCAAGUUUAAUCAUUUAGAGAAUAAGGACUUGGCCCUGUCACCUGAGGGAGUUUAGCUAUUGACUGAUAGGGGGGAGGAUUUUUUUCCUUAGUUUCCAGGUUCAGUAUGUUAAAUUAGGCCAAAUCCAUGUAUAUAUUUUUGACACUGAUUCAUUUUGGGUCAUCUGGUUUUGAAAGCUGGCCCUGAUUAAUGGUUAUGUAGAUUUCCUUGUUUUUGUAAAAACAUGAAAAUAUAAAUGCUCUGGAAGUUCUGACUCCUUUAUUUUAUUACUCCAGUUAGAAGAAAAGGAGAGGGGUUUUAGCCAUAUAUUUGAGUUUUAAUUUGUAUAUAUUAACUGAAAUGAUAAUUGGCUGAUAAUUGAUUGAUAAAACCAAGGCAAGAAUUUUAUGAAAUACAGAACUAAGCACUAACUAGAAUUAAACUACUGAUCUGUUCUGAUGAUGAAUAAGUACUUUCUAUUUUUACUGGGAUUAGAUCCUCUAAUCCAGUUUUUUCUUUAUUUCUUAGUAUACCCCUUGGGACUCCAAAUAGUCAAGCACCUUUACAUGAUAUUUAUAAUAUAUGUCCAAAAUGCCAUCAUCCCUAGUUUUUUAUAGCAAGUAGAACAGGGAUGCUAAGAUUUCAUUAUUACACAAACACUAGUAACCACUAAUGUACUAUUGCAAGAAACGUAUUUUUUGUUAAUUAGUGAUUAUUGCUGUUAAAAUGAAGUAACUUGGACAAGAGAAAUCUUAUUAUCAGUGUUUACCACAUUUCUAAUUUAUAUCCUCCUUUGGUUAUAUUGGAAGACAAAGAGUAUUGGUAAUAGUCAAGGAUAAAAGUAAGAAUUUUAGUUUUAAUAAAAUAGCCUCACUUGAAUUUUUCUAGUUUACUAUAUUUCAGGCUUGCUAGUGUAUUGCUUUUGCAGAGAAAGACAGGAUGUUGCAGUAUAAAUCUCAUUAAGCUUGUUGCAUUGUUUUCCUAAUUGAUGAGAGAGAAUUUGGGUCUCUAUUCCUGUGUAAAUUUUUAAUAAUAAUAAAAAAUAAUAAUUGUACCCUAGUGAAAAUAUUUUGAUUUUUUUGUGGUAUUUACCUUCUCAUUUUAGCUGAAGCAUAUUCUGUGCACAGUAUGUCCUACAGCCAUAAAAAUGGUUGCUCCACUAACUAUGGUAUUCAUGGACCCUUGAAGAGGGGGAAGCAGGUGGUCACAAUGUCCUCAUAUGAGUGAAAAGUAAUCCUAGAAAGGGGGAGCAUUCCAUAUAGAAACUGCUGAAACUGCCACAGGUGCUUCUCCGAAAACCUUACAGUUGUGGCAUUGAAUGUUCAGUAUCGCUUCCUUUCUGCACACAAGGCAUACUGUUGAGCUUGAGAAAUGCCAGUGGCCUGACAGCAGCAGACCUUGCACAUACCCAGGGCUUCCAAGAAUGUGCCCAGUUUCUCUUGAACCUCCAGAACUGUCACCUGAAUCAUUUCUAUAGCAAUGGCACCUUAAAUGGGGUUCAUCAGAAUGCAGGUCCCAAUCCAUUCAGUGGUGGGACAAGUCGAAAGAGAUCCUUUGAAGAUACGGAGUCUGCUGGAGUGAAGAAGGCUAGAACAGAAGCUUACAGCUUUGAUGGCUUAAUACCAAUGCUGAAUGGAGGAGCUGAGGACGAUGCUGACAAUAUGCACGUUGAUAGAGAGUUUGCUGUUGUAUCAGAUAUGAAUAGCAGUAGCUCCAUAUUGAAUGCACUGACAAAUGGAUGUGCCAUCAAUGGACAUUUGGAUUUCAGCGCCGCACAGCAGCUCGGUGGGAUGGAUGCCAGGCGUGAGGAGUGCUUGGCAUUCGCACCCAACAGCGUCAUUCCUGGGGUCGCCUCUCCCAGCAGGCACCGCGUGCACACCGCUAAUGGCACCGAGGAGCCCGAGAAAGCCAUGAGCAAUUCCACGGAUAUGUGUGGAUCCCUGCACCUCAAUGGGAGCCCCAGUAGCUGUGUCUCUAACCGGCCCUCCUGGGUGGAAGACCCUGGGGACACUUUGCACUAUGGACACUAUCAUGGUUUUGGGGAUACUGCUGAAAGCAUCCCCGAACUCAGUAGUGUUGUUGAGCAUUCCAAUUCUGUCAAGGUCGAACAGAGAUAUGACAAUACUGUCCUAGGCAC